GGUAUAGCUCAGUUGGUUAGAGCGCCAGAUUGUGGCUCUGGAGGUCGUGAGUUCGACUCUCACUAC
This 66-nucleotide transfer RNA is filed under the name human gut metagenome. It matches the Rfam family "tRNA", at positions 5 to 66 of the family's 71-position model. Rfam says of the family: Transfer RNA (tRNA) molecules are approximately 80 nucleotides in length. Their secondary structure includes four short double-helical elements and three loops (D, anti-codon, and T loops). Further hydrogen bonds mediate the characteristic L-shaped molecular structure. tRNAs have two regions of fundamental functional importance: the anti-codon, which is responsible for specific mRNA codon recognition, and the 3' end, to which the tRNAs corresponding amino acid is attached (by aminoacyl-tRNA synthetases). tRNAs cope with the degeneracy of the genetic code in two manners: having more than one tRNA (with a specific anti-codon) for a particular amino acid; and 'wobble' base-pairing, i.e. permitting non-standard base-pairing at the 3rd anti-codon position. The record is from RNAcentral.